UGGGGAAUAUUGGACAAUGGGCGCAAGCCUGAUCCAGCCAUGCCGCGUGAGUGAUGAAGGCCCUAGGGUUGUAAAGCUCUUUCCCCGGUGAAGAUAAUGACGGUAACCGGAGAAGAAGCCCCGGCUAACUUCGUGCCAGCAGCCGCGGUAAUACGAAGGGGGCUAGCGUUGUUCGGAUUUACUGGGCGUAAAGCGCACGUAGGCGGACUUUUAAGUCAGGGGUGAAAUCCCGGGGCUCAACCCCGGAACUGCCUUUGAUACUGGAAGUCUUGAGUAUGGUAGAGGUGGGGGGAAUUCCGAGUGUAGAGGUGAAAUUCGUAGAUAUUCGGAGGAACACCAGUGGCGAAGGCGGCUCACUGGACCAUUACUGACGCUGAGGUGCGAAAGCGUGGGGAGCAAACAGG
This 404-nucleotide ribosomal RNA is filed under the name Actinomycetes bacterium. RNAcentral's name for it is "Actinobacteria bacterium partial 16S ribosomal RNA". It matches the Rfam family "Bacterial small subunit ribosomal RNA", at positions 355 to 776 of the family's 1533-position model. The record is from RNAcentral. Lineage: Bacteria; Bacillati; Actinomycetota; Actinomycetes.